GCUGCUAUAGCUCAGUGGUAGAGCACCUCCUUGGUAAGGAGGAGGUCCUGGGUUCGAGUCCCAGUAGCAGCUCCA
Molecule: transfer RNA, 75 nt
Filed under: Planctomycetota bacterium
Lineage: Bacteria; Pseudomonadati; Planctomycetota
Also listed under: 2 other names
Description: Planctomycetes bacterium (activated sludge metagenome) tRNA-Thr
Rfam family: tRNA
About the family: Transfer RNA (tRNA) molecules are approximately 80 nucleotides in length. Their secondary structure includes four short double-helical elements and three loops (D, anti-codon, and T loops).
Source: RNAcentral